CCUACGGGAGGCAGCAGUGAGGAAUAUUGGUCAAUGGGCGGAAGCCUGAACCAGCCAAGUAGCGUGCAGGAUGACGGCCCUACGGGUUGUAAACUGCUUUUAUACGGGAAUAACGCGCCUUACGUGUAGGGCGUUGCAUGUAACGUAUGAAUAAGGACCGGCUAAUUCCGUGCCAGCAGCCGCGGUAAUACGGAAGGUCGGGGCGUUAUCCGGAUUUAUUGGGUUUAAAGGGAGCGUAGGCCGCAUGUCAAGCGUGCUGUGAAAUUGUCGGGCUCAACCCGGGCCUUGCAGCGUGAACUGGCGUGCGUGAGUCGGCGGAAAGCAGGCGGAAUUCGUGGUGUAGCGGUGAAAUGCUUAGAUAUGACGAAGAACCCCGAUUGCGAAGGCAGCUUGCUACAGCGGAACUGACGCUGAUGCUCGAAAGCGCGGGUAUCGAACAGGAUUAGAUACCCGGGUAGUC
Molecule: ribosomal RNA, 460 nt
Filed under: uncultured bacterium
Lineage: Bacteria
Description: partial 16S ribosomal RNA
Rfam family: Bacterial small subunit ribosomal RNA
Source: RNAcentral